Molecule: transfer RNA, 73 nt
Filed under: uncultured bacterium
Lineage: Bacteria
Description: tRNA-Glu
Rfam family: tRNA
About the family: Transfer RNA (tRNA) molecules are approximately 80 nucleotides in length.
Source: RNAcentral
GCUCUAAUCAUCUAGCGGUCUAGGAUAUUACCUUCUCAAGGUAAAUACAGGAGUUCAAAUCUCCUUUAGAGUU